AAAAAGGCAAACCCUAUGUUUCCGUGUCCAACUUUGACUGUCCGUCUUAUAUGAUUUUUUUUUAUAAUUCGUAUUUUCAUUGUUGUUAGAUGAUAAAACAUGAUUAAUAUUUUAUGCGUAACUUAUCUUUUUAAUUUUUUUUAUAAUUUUUUUAAAUAAGAUGAAUGAUCAAAUGUUGGGCACGGAAAUCAGGGUUUAUCUUUUU
Molecule: microRNA precursor, 205 nt
Organism: Oryza sativa Indica Group (long-grained rice)
Lineage: Eukaryota; Viridiplantae; Streptophyta; Magnoliopsida; Poales; Poaceae
Rfam family: MIR812 microRNA precursor family
Source: Rfam